AUCAUCUCCUGAAGAUGCUAGCACCGUUCCUGUUAUAUUCCAACUCACUCGCCAGACCUGAGAAUUAUGAUUAUCGAACUGAGCCACUAUAUGGAUUUCAAACUUUGUUGGCCCACCAGAGGACCAGGCAAUUAUUAAGUGUUUUCCGAAAGUGAUGUUGCUUUGCAAAAUGUUUUAAAAUAAAUUGGGCAGUGCGGGAAUUACUUCUGUGACAUCAUCUAUGUUAUGCUGCCAGUAAAUGUUCUGGAAAACUCUGCUCCAGAAAAGCUAUGUCUGAAUGAGAGAAGUCAGUUUUCCAAACUAAUUCUCACCAACUCCU
This 319-nucleotide long non-coding RNA is filed under the name Homo sapiens (human). Its description in RNAcentral is "HSALNT0248282". The record is from RNAcentral. Lineage: Eukaryota; Metazoa; Chordata; Mammalia; Primates; Hominidae.